GUCCCCAUAGGCCAACUGGAUAGACCCGCGGUUUCCUAAACCGCUAAUGCAGGUUCGAUUCCUGCUGGGGACACCA
This 76-nucleotide transfer RNA is filed under the name Rickettsiales bacterium. RNAcentral describes it as "tRNA-Arg". It matches the Rfam family "tRNA". Rfam says of the family: Transfer RNA (tRNA) molecules are approximately 80 nucleotides in length. Their secondary structure includes four short double-helical elements and three loops (D, anti-codon, and T loops). The record is from RNAcentral. Lineage: Bacteria; Pseudomonadati; Pseudomonadota; Alphaproteobacteria; Rickettsiales.